This 84-nucleotide transfer RNA is filed under the name Rickettsiaceae bacterium. RNAcentral's name for it is "tRNA-Tyr". It matches the Rfam family "tRNA". From Rfam's summary of the family: Transfer RNA (tRNA) molecules are approximately 80 nucleotides in length. Their secondary structure includes four short double-helical elements and three loops (D, anti-codon, and T loops). Further hydrogen bonds mediate the characteristic L-shaped molecular structure. tRNAs have two regions of fundamental functional importance: the anti-codon, which is responsible for specific mRNA codon recognition, and the 3' end, to which the tRNAs corresponding amino acid is attached (by aminoacyl-tRNA synthetases). tRNAs cope with the degeneracy of the genetic code in two manners: having more than one tRNA (with a specific anti-codon) for a particular amino acid; and 'wobble' base-pairing, i.e. permitting non-standard base-pairing at the 3rd anti-codon position. The record is from RNAcentral. Lineage: Bacteria; Pseudomonadati; Pseudomonadota; Alphaproteobacteria; Rickettsiales; Rickettsiaceae.
GGGAGAGUGGCUGAGUGGCUAAAAGCGGCAGAUUGUAACUCUGUUGAAAUUUCUUCUUCGCAGGUUCGAAUCCUGCCUUUCCCA